AGAGUUUGAUCCUGGCUCAGAUUGAACGCUGGCGGCAUGCUUUACACAUGCAAGUCGAACGGUAACAGGUCUUCGGAUGCUGACGAGUGGCGAACGGGUGAGUAAUACAUCGGAACGUGCCUAGUAGUGGGGGAUAACUACUCGAAAGAGUAGCUAAUACCGCAUGAGAUCUACGGAUGAAAGCAGGGGACCUUCGGGCCUUGUGCUACUAGAGCGGCUGAUGGCAGAUUAGGUAGUUGGUGGGGUAAAGGCUUACCAAGCCUGCGAUCUGUAGCUGGUCUGAGAGGACGACCAGCCACACUGGGACUGAGACACGGCCCAGACUCCUACGGGAGGCAGCAGUGGGGAAUUUUGGACAAUGGGCGAAAGCCUGAUCCAGCAAUGCCGCGUGCAGGAUGAAGGCCCUCGGGUUGUAAACUGCUUUUGUACGGAACGAAAAGCCUGGGGCUAAUAUCCCCGGGUCAUGACGGUACCGUAAGAAUAAGCACCGGCUAACUACGUGCCAGCAGCCGCGGUAAUACGUAGGGUGCAAGCGUUAAUCGGAAUUACUGGGCGUAAAGCGUGCGCAGGCGGUUUUGUAAGACAGUGGUGAAAUCCCCGGGCUCAACCUGGGAACUGCCAUUGUGACUGCAAGGCUAGAGUGCGGCAGAGGGGGAUGGAAUUCCGCGUGUA
RNAcentral lists this ribosomal RNA (672 nucleotides) under uncultured bacterium. RNAcentral describes it as "bacterial SSU rRNA". It matches the Rfam family "Bacterial small subunit ribosomal RNA", at positions 8 to 677 of the family's 1533-position model. The record is from RNAcentral.